Long non-coding RNA from Rattus norvegicus (Norway rat), 677 nucleotides. Ensembl lists it as uncharacterized. The record is from Ensembl. Lineage: Eukaryota; Metazoa; Chordata; Mammalia; Rodentia; Muridae.
AGCUCUGUCUGAUACUGGAAAAGCACACUGAUCAGAUCAGCAGAUCAGAUCACGGAUUAAGGUCAGUUCUCUACUGAACAUGACAGAAGGUGAGGAGAAUAAAGUCAGAGGAUAAAGCUAUUGCAACUAAUGAAUUACAAAAUUAGCAUGGAGCAGUCACAGUGACAACGAUGCGAAGCCCUACUGUCAACAAAAUGUGUCUGUUAAAGAAGUAGUGCACGGAGAAAAAGAAGAAAUUAGAUAUUCUGACAGUGAAGACCGAACAUUCCCCAAAGAACUCUACAUCCCCUAAAGAGCAAGAAGUAGUUUUUUUUCUGAUCUAGUGUUUGGAUUUUUGAAGGAGUAGAAAGGGGGUGAAGAAGGGUGGAAGAUAAAAGAACCACACAAUGGGCAAAGUCUGGUUACAGAUUAUAACUUGGAAGUUUACGCUUUCAUCAAAUUAUAAAGCAUAAGAAUUUUUAUUUUUCUGUGAAGGGAAAUCAAGUCCCCAUAAAUCUGAUCUAUACAUGUAUUUCUAAUAUUCGCAAGUUUCAGCUGACUGUCAUGGAAUCACAUCUCAGGAAGUUCAUUUUUCAGCAGCACACAGAAUAUAUUCAACUUAGUAUUAGAAAUUUUUUAUUACUUCUGCUCCCAUCUAUACACAUUUUUAAGAGUAUGAAGAAUGGAUAACAAUAGAG